This 393-nucleotide ribosomal RNA is filed under the name uncultured bacterium. RNAcentral's name for it is "bacterial SSU rRNA". It matches the Rfam family "Bacterial small subunit ribosomal RNA", at positions 505 to 898 of the family's 1533-position model. The record is from RNAcentral.
GUGUCAGCCGCCGCGGUAAUACAGAGAGUGCAAGCGUUAAUCGGAAUUACUGGGCGUAAAGCGCACGUAGGUGGAUAUUUAAGUCGGAUGUGAAAUCCCUGGGCUUAACUCAGGAAUUGCAUUCGAUACUGGAUAUCUAGAGUAUAGUAGAGGGAGGUGGAAUUUCCGGUGUAGCGGUGAAAUGCGUAGAUAUCGGAAAGAACAUCAGUGGCGAAGGCGGCCUCCUGGACUAAUACUGACACUUAGGUGCGAAAGCGUGGGGAGCAAACAGGAUUAGAGACCCUGGUAGUCCACGCUGUCAACUAUGAGAGCUAGAUGUUGGAGAUUAAGUUCUUUAGUAUCGAAGCUAACGCGUUAAGCUCUCCGCCUGGGGAGUACGGCCGCAAGGUUAAA